Molecule: ribosomal RNA, 465 nt
Filed under: uncultured bacterium
Lineage: Bacteria
Description: partial 16S ribosomal RNA
Rfam family: Bacterial small subunit ribosomal RNA
Source: RNAcentral
CCUACGGGUGGCAGCAGUGGGGAAUAUUGCGCAAUGGGCGAAAGCCUGACGCAGCGACGCCGCGUGAGGGAUGAAGGUCUUCGGAUCGUAAACCUCUGUCAGCAGGGAAGAACGGUCACUGUGCUAAUCAGCAGUGAAUUGACGGGACCUGCAAAGGAAGCACCGGCUAACUCCGUGCCAGCAGCCGCGGUAAUACGGCGGGUGCGAGCGUUAGUCGGAAUUACUGGGCGUAAAGCGCUCGUAGGCGGCAUGUCAAGUCAAGGGUGAAAUCCCCGCGCUCAACGUGGGAACUGCCUUUGAAACUGGCAAACUGGAGUGUGUGAGAGGAUAGGGGAAUUCCAGGUGUAGGAGUGAAAUGCGUAGAUAUCUGGAGGAACAUCAGUGGCGAAGGCGACUAUCUGGCACAUAACUGACGCUGAGGAGCGAAAGCGUGGGUAGCAAACAGGAUUAGAUACCCUUGUAGUC